CACGGAGUUAGCCGGGGCUUCCUUUAGCGGUACCGUCAGGCUUCGGCGAUGUUUACGCCGUAGCUAUUCUUCCCGCUCGACAGGAGUUUACGAUCCGAAAAUCUUCAUCCUCCACGCGGCGUUGCGUCGUCAGGCUUGCGCCCAUUGCGAACAAUUCCCCA
RNAcentral lists this ribosomal RNA (161 nucleotides) under uncultured bacterium. RNAcentral describes it as "partial 16S ribosomal RNA". The record is from RNAcentral.